UCGAGCGGACCGACGGGAGCUUGCUCCCUUAGGUCAGCGGCGGACGUGGUGAGUAACACGUGGGUAACCUGCCUGUAAGACUGGGAUAACUCCGGGAAACCGGGGCUAAUACCGGAUGCUUGAUUGAACCGCAUGGUUCAAUCAUAAAAGGUGGCUUUUAGCUACCACUUACAGAUGGACCCGCGGCGCAUUAGCUAGUUGGUGAGGUAACGGCUCACCAAGGCGACGAUGCGUAGCCGACCUGAGAGGGUGAUCGGCCACACUGGGACUGAGACACGGCCCAGACUCCUACGGGAGGCAGCAGUAGGGAAUCUUCCGCAAUGGACGAAAGUCUGACGGAGCAACGCCGCGUGAGUGAUGAAGGUUUUCGGAUCGUAAAACUCUGUUGUUAGGGAAGAACAAGUACCGUUCGAAUAGGGCGGCACCUUGACGGUACCUAACCAGAAAGCCACGGCUAACUACGUGCCAGCAGCCGCGGUAAUACGUAGGUGGCAAGCGUUGUCCGGAAUUAUUGGGCGUAAAGCGCGCGCAGGCGGUUUCUUAAGUCUGAUGUGAAAGCCCCCGGCUCAACCGGGGAGGGUCAUUGGAAACUGGGGAACUUGAGUGCAGAAGAGGAGAGUGGAAUUCCACGUGUAGCGGUGAAAUGCGUAGAGAUGUGGAGGAACACCAGUGGCGAAGGCGACUCUCUGGUCUGUAACUGACGCUGAGGCGCGAAAGCGUGGGGAGCGAACAGGAUUAGAUACCCUGGUAGUCCACGCCGUAAACGAUGAGUGCUAAGUGUUAGAGGGUUUCCGCCCUUUAGUGCUGCAGCAAACGCAUUAAGCACUCCGCCUGGGGAGUACGGUCGCAAGACUGAAACUCAAAGGAAUUGACGGGGGCCCGCACAAGCGGUGGAGCAUGUGGUUUAAUUCGAAGCAACGCGAAGAACCUUACCAGGUCUUGACAUCCUCUGACAACCCUAGAGAUAGGGCUUCCCCUUCGGGGGCAGAGUGACAGGUGGUGCAUGGUUGUCGUCAGCUCGUGUCGUGAAAUGUUGGGUUAAGUCCCGCAACGAGCGCAACCCUUGAUCUUAUUUGCCAGCAUUCAGUUGGGCACUCUAAGGUGACUGCCGGUGACAAACCGGAGGAAGGUGGGGAUGACGUCAAAUCAUCAUGCCCCUUAUGACCUGGGCUACACACGUGCUAC
Molecule: ribosomal RNA, 1185 nt
Filed under: Bacillus licheniformis
Lineage: Bacteria; Bacillati; Bacillota; Bacilli; Caryophanales; Bacillaceae
Description: bacterial SSU rRNA
Rfam family: Bacterial small subunit ribosomal RNA
Source: RNAcentral